RNAcentral lists this ribosomal RNA (257 nucleotides) under uncultured bacterium. RNAcentral describes it as "partial 16S ribosomal RNA". It matches the Rfam family "Bacterial small subunit ribosomal RNA", at positions 524 to 779 of the family's 1533-position model. The record is from RNAcentral.
UACGUAGGGAGCAAGCGUUGUCCGGAAUCAUUGGGCGUAAAGCGCGCGUAGGCGGCCCGAUAAGUCCGCUGUAAAAGUCAACGGCUCAACUGUUGAAGGCCGGUGGAUACUGUCGGGCUAGAGUACGGAAGAGGCAAGUGGAAUUCCUGGUGUAGCGGUGGAAUGCGCAGAUAUCAGGAGGAACACCUAUAGCGAAGGCAGCUUGCUGGGACGUUACUGACGCUGAGGCGCGAAAAGCAUGGGGAGCGAACAGGGAU